AUACGUAGGUGGCAAGCGUUGUCCGGAAUUAUUGGGCGUAAAGCGCGCGCAGGUGGUUCCUUAAGUCUGAUGUGAAAGCCCCCGGCUCAACCGGGGAGGGUCAUUGGAAACUGGGGAACUUGAGUGCAGAAGAGGAUAAUGGAAUUCCAAGUGUAGCGGUGAAAUGCGUAGAGAUUUGGAGGAACACCAGUGGCGAAGGCGACUGUCUGGUCUGUAACUGACACUGAGGCGCGAAAGCGUGGGGAGCAAACAGGAUUAGAUACCCUGGUAGUCCACGCCGUAAACGAUGAGUGCUAAGUGUUGGGGGGUUUCCGCCCCUCAGUGCUGCAGCUAACGCAUUAAGCACUCCGCCUGGGGAGUACGGUCGCAAGACUGAAACUCAAAUGAAUUGACGGGG
RNAcentral lists this ribosomal RNA (397 nucleotides) under uncultured bacterium. RNAcentral describes it as "partial 16S ribosomal RNA". It matches the Rfam family "Bacterial small subunit ribosomal RNA", at positions 523 to 918 of the family's 1533-position model. The record is from RNAcentral.